RNAcentral lists this ribosomal RNA (338 nucleotides) under uncultured fungus. RNAcentral describes it as "SSU rRNA". It matches the Rfam family "Eukaryotic small subunit ribosomal RNA", at positions 20 to 371 of the family's 1831-position model. Lineage: Eukaryota; Fungi. The record is from RNAcentral.
GUAGUCAUAUGCUUGUCUCAAAGAUUAAGCCAUGCACGUCUAAGUAUAAGCAACUUUGUACUGUGAAACUGCGAAUGGCUCAUUAAAUCAGUUAUAGUUUAUUUGAUGGUUUUUGCUACAUGGAUAACUGUGGUAAUUCUAGAGCUAAUACAUGCAUUCAAGCCCCGACUUCUGGAAGGGGUGUAUUUAUUAGAUAAAAAUCAACUUUGUUGGUGAAUCAUAAUAACUUCUCGGACCGCAUGGCCUCGUGCUGGCGGUGCUUCAUUCAAAUAUCUGCCCUAUCAACUGUCGAUGGUAGGAUAGAGGCCUACCAUGGUUGCAACGGGUAACGGGGAAUG